AUUGAACGCUGGCGGCAGGCCUAACACAUGCAAGUCGAGCGGAUGAAGGGAGCUUGCUCCUGGAUUCAGCGGCGGACGGGUGAGUAAUGCCUAGGAAUCUGCCUGGUAGUGGGGGAUAACGUCCGGAAACGGGCGCUAAUACCGCAUACGUCCUGAGGGAGAAAGUGGGGGAUCUUCGGACCUCACGCUAUCAGAUGAGCCUAGGUCGGAUUAGCUAGUUGGUGGGGUAAAGGCCUACCAAGGCGACGAUCCGUAACUGGUCUGAGAGGAUGAUCAGUCACACUGGAACGAGACCAGGUCCCAGAUCCCUAGGGGAGCCAGCAGUGGGAAAUAUUGGCCAUUGGGGGAAAGCUUGAUCCAGCCAGGCGGGGGGUGUGAAGAAGGUCUUCGAUUGGUAAACACCUUUAAGUGGGGAGAAGGGGCGUUAGGUUAAUACCUGGCUGUUUGGCCGUUCCCAACAGAAUAGGCACCGCUUACUUCGUG
Molecule: ribosomal RNA, 483 nt
Filed under: uncultured bacterium
Lineage: Bacteria
Description: partial 16S ribosomal RNA
Rfam family: Bacterial small subunit ribosomal RNA
Source: RNAcentral